UGGAAGUGUGUCCGAAGGGUAAGGGGGAAGUCUUGAAAACUUCUUAAACCGGUGAUGAAUCGGUGUGCAGGUUCGAAUCCUGUCACUUCCAU
Molecule: transfer RNA, 92 nt
Filed under: compost metagenome
Description: tRNA-Ser
Rfam family: tRNA
About the family: Transfer RNA (tRNA) molecules are approximately 80 nucleotides in length. Their secondary structure includes four short double-helical elements and three loops (D, anti-codon, and T loops).
Source: RNAcentral